This 458-nucleotide ribosomal RNA is filed under the name uncultured bacterium. RNAcentral describes it as "partial 16S ribosomal RNA". It matches the Rfam family "Bacterial small subunit ribosomal RNA", at positions 338 to 795 of the family's 1533-position model. The record is from RNAcentral.
CCUACGGGAGGCAGCAGUGAGGAAUAUUGGUCAAUGGGCGAGAGCCUGAACCAGCCAAGUCGCGUGAGGGAGUACUGCCCUAUGGGUUGUAAACCUCUUUUGUCGGGGAGCAAAAGCCGGACGUGUCCGGCUGUGAGAGUACCCGAAGAAAAAGCAUCGGCUAACUCCGUGCCAGCAGCCGCGGUAAUACGGAGGAUGCGAGCGUUAUCCGGAUUUAUUGGGGUAAAGGGGUGCGCAGGGGGAUUGUUAAGUCAGCGGUCAAAUCGUGGGGCUAAACCCCAUCCAGCCGUUGAAACUGGGGAUCUAGAGUGUGCGAGAGGUAUGCGGAAUGCGUGGUGUAGCGGUGAAAUGCAUAGAUAUCACGCAGAACACCGAUUGCGAAGGCAGCAUACCGGUGCACAACUGACGCUCAGGCACGAAAGCGUGGGUAUCGAACAGGAUUAGAUACCCCAGUAGUC